GACAGAGGGUGCAAACGUUGCUCGGAAUUACUGGGCGUAAAGCGCGUGUAGGUGGAUUGGUGUGUCAGAUGUGAAAGCCCUGGGCUCAACCCAGGAACUGCACCUGAAACUACCAGUCUUGAGUGGUGGAGAGGGAAGUGGAAUUCCUGGUGUAGAGGUGAAAUUCGUAGAUAUCAGGAGGAACACCAGUGGCGAAGGCGGCUCACUGGACCGGUACUGACGCUGAGACGCGAAAGCCAGGGGAGCAAACGGG
RNAcentral lists this ribosomal RNA (253 nucleotides) under uncultured bacterium. RNAcentral's name for it is "partial 16S ribosomal RNA". It matches the Rfam family "Bacterial small subunit ribosomal RNA", at positions 524 to 776 of the family's 1533-position model. The record is from RNAcentral.